UACAGUACACGUUACACUGGCGCCGACAUUUUGAAAAUUUGAGGAAACAAAAACAUUCUCCAACGAGUUCUUCAGCUCGGGGAAUGAGAGAAUAGAUUCACCUUUGUGUCGCUUUUCAGAUCGUAUUUAAUUCCUUUCCGGUACUUUAGUUUCUUUGAACUUCUUUGUUACUAAGCCUAUAUUGAAUUUUUAAAAUUAAGAAAUCCGUGAUUUUACUUGCAGGCAUGACUGAUUAAUGGAAUUAUUUUACUUUUAUAUAGAAUAUGGACGGCACUCCAUUACAGCAUGUGCAUGGUUGGACCUGUUGACAUUUUUAGAAACGCAUCUUGGUCUAUUAUACAGAGUAUUGUUGUACUGCUCCAAAGUGCUUGUUGACAGACUGAAACCACUUGCUUGCGGCUCAUAAGGUUCACUUCUUGAGAGCAGGCAGCUACAAAAUGGAAGGUCAACAAAUCCAGUAUACUUGAAAAGCAAGAAAGAAACACCAGAAAAAAUAAAAAGACAGAAGAACAAGAGAACUUUAAUAAAAAAAAAACUUUUAAGGAUAGGAAUUCAGUAUUUAUUUAGAAACUAAAUAUAUUUUGAGAACAGCAGUGUUUGACUAAGCUCUGUUACUUUAAGAGAUAAUGUAUUAUCACAUUGGUUUUGUUAUUGUUGAGCCCGCUUGCGGAAGCGAAGACAUAGUUGUCCAAAUGUCUAUUCGGUGUAUGUGCGUGCGUGCGUGCGUCUGUCCUGAUUAGUUUGUCCGGACCAUAAUUUGGACAUGCAUGGAGCAAUCUUGUUUAUAUAUGGUAUGAAUGUUAACCUCAGUGAGACGGAGUGUCAUGCGCAAGCCCCAGGUUCCAAUCUCAAAGGUCAAGAUCACACUUACAGGUCAAAGGUCAAAUUCAAAAAUGACUUUGUCCGGAGCAUUUCUUCUUCAUGCAUGGAGGGAUUUUGAUGUAACUUGGCACAAUUGUUCACCAUCAUGAGAUGGAGUGUCAUGCGCAAGAACCAGGUCCCUAGGUCUAAGGUCAAGGUCACACUUAGAGGGCAAAGGAUACAAGAAUGACAACUUUGUCUGGAGCAUUUCUUCUUCACGCAUGGAGGGACUUUGAUGUAACUUGGCACAAAUAUUCGCCACCAUGAGACGGAGUGUCAUGCAGAAGAACCAGGUCUAAGGUCAAGGUCACACUUAGAGGUCAAAAGUCAGAUACAAGAAUGACUUUGUCUGGAGCAUUUCUUUUUGAUGCAUAGAGGGAUUUUGAUGUAACUUGGCACAAUUGUUCAUCAUCAUGUGACGGAGUGUUAUGCAUAAGAUCCUAGAAUUACUUCCCUUUGUUGUUACUAUAAACAGCUUACAUUUGUAACUUGUUUAUUACUGGUCGUAGGGAAAAAUCAAGACCACUUUUCUGUAGUACAAUAUGCAAGUUACAUCCAAUUUUCAGGUGUAUUUUGACCUAUCUCUGCUGGU
Long non-coding RNA from Mercenaria mercenaria, 1453 nucleotides. RefSeq lists it as uncharacterized. The transcript is spliced from 3 exons. The record is from RefSeq and is a predicted model, not a curated record. NCBI's taxonomy places the organism in Eukaryota, Metazoa, Mollusca, Bivalvia, Venerida, Veneridae.